GGAGGAAUACCCAAGUCUGGCUGAAGGGAUCGGUCUUGAAAACCGACAGGCGGGUCAUACCGCGCGGGGGUUCGAAUCCCUCUUCCUCCGCCA
RNAcentral lists this transfer RNA (93 nucleotides) under Lederbergia galactosidilytica. RNAcentral's name for it is "tRNA-Ser". It matches the Rfam family "tRNA". Rfam says of the family: Transfer RNA (tRNA) molecules are approximately 80 nucleotides in length. Their secondary structure includes four short double-helical elements and three loops (D, anti-codon, and T loops). Lineage: Bacteria; Bacillati; Bacillota; Bacilli; Caryophanales; Bacillaceae. RNAcentral also lists the same sequence under 3 other names. The record is from RNAcentral.